UUUGGAUUAAUACCCCGUAACAUUGCGAUGUGGCAUCACAUUGCAAUUAUAGCUUCGGCGCUUAACGAUGGGUGUGCGUAUGAUUAGAUAGUUGGCGAGGUAACGGCUCACCAAGUCUACGAUCAUUAGCUGAUGUGAGAGCAUGAUCAGCCACACGGGCACUGAGACACGGGCCCGACUCCUACGGGAGGCAGCAGUAAGGAAUAUUGGUCAAUGGACGCAAGUCUGAACCAGCCAUGCCGCGUGAAGGACUAAGGUCCUCUGGAUUGUAAACUUCUUUUAUAUGGGACGAAAAAAGAUCUUUCUAGAUCCCUUGACGGUACCAUAUGAAUAAGCACCGGCUAACUCCGUGCCAGCAGCCGCGGUAAUACGGAGGGUGCAAGCGUUAUCCGGAUUCACUGGGUUUAAAGGGUGCGUAGGCGGGUAGGUAAGUCAGUGGUGAAAUCCUGGAGCUCAACUCCAGAACUGCCAUUGAUACUAUCUAUCUUGAAUAUUGUGGAGGUAAGCGGAAUAUGUCAUGUAGCGGUGAAAUGCUUAGAUAUGACAUAGAACACCCAUUGCGAAGGCAGCUUACUACGCAUAUAUUGACGCUGAGGCACGAAAGCGUGGGGAUCAAACAGGAUUAGAUACCCUGGUAGUCCACGCCCUAAACGAUGGAUACUCGACAUACGCGAUACACUGUGUGUGUCUGA
RNAcentral lists this ribosomal RNA (692 nucleotides) under uncultured Bacteroidota bacterium. RNAcentral's name for it is "bacterial SSU rRNA". It matches the Rfam family "Bacterial small subunit ribosomal RNA", at positions 157 to 850 of the family's 1533-position model. The record is from RNAcentral. Lineage: Bacteria; Pseudomonadati; Bacteroidota.